Paramuricea clavata is the source of this 94-nucleotide non-coding RNA. NCBI's taxonomy places the organism in Eukaryota, Metazoa, Cnidaria, Anthozoa, Malacalcyonacea, Plexauridae. The record is from the annotation of a GenBank genome assembly.
CUGGGUGUUGGUAAUGAUUUCUUCAGGCAAAAGUAAGCUUAAAGUUUAUUAAAGUUUUUUAAGCUUAUUUUUGCCUGAAGAAAUCAUUACCAAC